This 66-nucleotide transfer RNA is filed under the name Ictidomys tridecemlineatus (thirteen-lined ground squirrel). Its description in RNAcentral is "Spermophilus tridecemlineatus (thirteen-lined ground squirrel) tRNA". It matches the Rfam family "tRNA". Rfam says of the family: Transfer RNA (tRNA) molecules are approximately 80 nucleotides in length. The record is from Rfam by way of RNAcentral. Lineage: Eukaryota; Metazoa; Chordata; Mammalia; Rodentia; Sciuridae.
GGAGGUAUAGCUUAGUGGUAAAGCACAUAGUGCAUGAGGCCCUGACUUCCAUCCUUAGUACCACCA